RNAcentral lists this ribosomal RNA (253 nucleotides) under uncultured bacterium. Its description in RNAcentral is "partial 16S ribosomal RNA". It matches the Rfam family "Bacterial small subunit ribosomal RNA", at positions 524 to 776 of the family's 1533-position model. The record is from RNAcentral.
UACGUAGGGUGCAAGCGUUAAUCGGAAUCACUGGGCGUAAAGCGUGCGCAGGCGGUCUUGCAAGACAGGUGUGAAAUCCCCGGGCUUAACCUGGGAACUGCACUUGUGACUGCAAGGCUGGAGUACGGCAGAGGGGGAUGGAAUUCCGCGUGUAGCAGUGAAAUGCGUAGAUAUGCGGAGGAACACCGAUGGCGAAGGCAAUCCCCUGGGCCUGUACUGACGCUCAUGCACGGAAGCGUGGGGAGCAAACAGG